Long non-coding RNA from Haliotis rubra (blacklip abalone), 204 nucleotides. RefSeq lists it as uncharacterized. Lineage: Eukaryota; Metazoa; Mollusca; Gastropoda; Lepetellida; Haliotidae. The transcript is spliced from 3 exons. The record is from RefSeq and is a predicted model, not a curated record.
CCGGAAUAUGGCUAAGCGCCACACUUACGCGCCAGUCAUAUUAAAGUGUCAUUCGGUACAACAAGGGAGUAAUCCAUGUUCAUAUUUGAACUUCCGCUUCCACCGUUGGAUAAUUCAAGAUGAAUCAUGCAGCCAUAAUCCCAAAUCGGUUCCAGCUGAACGAGGACUUUGACAAUAUAAUCGUUCCGAGUCAAACUUCAAGAA